Molecule: non-coding RNA, 817 nt
Organism: Paramuricea clavata
Lineage: Eukaryota; Metazoa; Cnidaria; Anthozoa; Malacalcyonacea; Plexauridae
Source: the annotation of a GenBank genome assembly
UAUACUGUGUCCAAUUAAACAAUAUGUAGUGAGAUGCCUUAGACUUAAUAUUCGACUUAUAUUUGUCGUUUAGAUUGAAGGAUUAAAGCAAUUCCUGUGCGAAUAUCGACGCAGUAUUAAGCACUGGACAAAUUCUACAUACAUUCUGUAGCUAGUACUGCCAAACUACCUAGGAAAACAAAACCCAUGUUUAUAUAUGACUUAUCACGCAUGAGAAGGCAUUGUCGAUCAUUCGAGAGGUAGGGAAAAGGAAAGAAUAUUUUCAUCCAUGCAGAGAAGAUAAAGUUGUGCUAUUGAUGCUGGUGAAUAUGCCCGAACUGUUGAUUUUGCUAACCAGCAGAUAUUCUAAAGUUUAUAUUAUAUAAAACACUAAACAAACGGCAUGCUUUAAUUAAUACCAGUAUUAAAUAUCUUAUUGUAUAUUAGACAAUAUAGUCUAGAUAUGAAUGUCAUAAAUAGCAGGUCCUAAGGCUUACGUCCAAUUGUCAAUAACAAGUCCAGAUAUUGACCUACUAUACAGUGAUUCAAUGUCUACUGACAUGUAAUUUGUUAGUUUUGAUCAUUCUGUCACAUCAAAAUAGAAAUGUUAUUCCAAGAUUCCAUGAUAUUUCAUAUUUCUUAUUUGAUAUUUCCUCUGUAUGGUACAAUAUUGACGUAAGGGUAUUAAACUUAGUUCUUAUUCCUCUCCAAACGCUUUGUAGACCAACUGUUGGAUGCCAGAAGAUUUUACCUAUGUGCAAAGGAUUAUAUACCCAGAAAUAUUAUUUAAUGUUUUUAUUCCACUAGUAAUUAUCAGUGAAAUCAGAAGAGCUUGGAC